Molecule: long non-coding RNA, 1348 nt
Organism: Varroa destructor (honeybee mite)
Lineage: Eukaryota; Metazoa; Arthropoda; Arachnida; Mesostigmata; Varroidae
Source: RefSeq, a predicted model, not a curated record
GCAAUGAAUACUGAAUACAAGUACUGACAUAGACUGCCAAGAGUGCGCUGAAUACGUUCCAGGAAAGCUAAGUCGGUAGCAACCAUCACCUUUUGUAUUUCUAAGUUUCGAGUAACAGCAUGGCGUAGUUCAAGAAUGUGCUCAUCUCAUGCGGCAGUGUAAAACGUACGAUCGCAGGGAACAGUGCUUUAACCUCUGAAGCGUUGGAGGAUAAAGCUCGUUUUAACCGGCAUGCUACUUUGCACUGCGUCGCGUCCAGUGGUCAGGCUGCAAAUGUUUUCCUUUAAGCAAUCGUUUUUGCUGAUACUUAAGAUUGCUUUUCCUACAUGAGCUAGCCUUGCUAAAGAGCUUUUUCGAAUAUCAUCUGGAUAAAACGCAAUGCAGGGCAUUUAUAUGCUAUGCUUUGGCAACCAGUCAUCCACCUUCUAUGGUUUUGCAGGUUUUGUUGAAAAAUAGCCAUCCAUCGGCGACGUAUCGCUAACGUUGAAAGAACAAGCUUCGCCUAAACGUGAAAAUAUGUUGUUUUCCAUCAAUACUGUUGAGGAUUGAAAAGAGUCUCGUUGGAAAAAGGAAGCUGGGAGCCGGUAAGAAAUUACGAAAGCUGUGACUCGACGAAGUUGGGAACGUUAGCUGAUUCUAGCUGUACUUCCAUGGAAAUAAUUCAUUUAAAUUCACCACCUCCGUCUAGCGAGGUCUAUCCUUCUGGAAAUUCAACUCUACUCACAAACAGGCGAAAGGUCGGCUAUGCCGGCCUUGGUCGGGCUUUCUCUGGCAAACCUGCAUGACGAUCUAUAUCAAUUCACGAUUUCGCAAAAUCAAAUUCGCGAUCGCCAGAAUACUUGCAUCAACGGCAAGCAAAUUUACAGAUCAACCAGCCAGGCCACCCUAUGGUCCAAGAUACAGCAAGCGAAAUGUUAUCUUAGGCUGAACGCAUUCCCCAAAGUUAAUGGCUUCCUAAAUGAAUAAAUAAUGAAUUAGGGUCGAUUUAAAUAAGUUAUAUUGUGUGGAAAUAAGAUUUUCGAAUGCUGCCUUGCCGUCAACCAAGGCACACGAGCAGGAAACGUUUAGCAUUUUUUGAAUAUUCCAAGUUUAAACGCUCCUUUCAAAUACAAAAAUUGAAACAAGAUGAUUCUAAAAUGCCUCAAUUAUGUAUAUAUAUAUAUAUAUAUAUACGUUCGGAUUAUAUUUUUGUUGCAGAAGUAGCAAGUUCAUUUAUUACACAUUAUCCUCUCUUUUAGAAUAUAAAUUUUCACAACAAGUAUCUUAUGAAGCCGUUGAAACUCGUUUCAAAAACUUUGCGAACGCACUAAAAGUGGUUGAAAUAAAAAAAAGGCAGGGGAGUGCUUUA